This 576-nucleotide ribosomal RNA is filed under the name uncultured bacterium. RNAcentral's name for it is "bacterial SSU rRNA". It matches the Rfam family "Bacterial small subunit ribosomal RNA", at positions 338 to 916 of the family's 1533-position model. The record is from RNAcentral.
CCUACGGGAGGCAGCAGUGAGGAAUAUUGGACAAUGGGCGCAAGCCUGAUCCAGCCAUGCCGCGUGCAGGAAGAAGGUCCUAUGGAUUGUAAACUGCUUUUAUACAGGAAGAAACACUCCCUCGUGAGGGAACUUGACGGUACUGUAUGAAUAAGGACCGGCUAACUCCGUGCCAGCAGCCGCGGUAAUACGGAGGGUCCAAGCGUUAUCCGGAAUCAUUGGGUUUAAAGGGUCCGUAGGCGGCCAAAUAAGUCAGUGGUGAAAGCCCAUCGCUCAACGAUGGAACGGCCAUUGAUACUGUUUGGCUUGAAUUAUUAGGAAGUAACUAGAAUAUGUAGUGUAGCGGUGAAAUGCUUAGAGAUUACAUGGAAUACCAAUUGCGAAGGCAGGUUACUACUAAUAUAUUGACGCUGAUGGACGAAAGCGUGGGGAGCGAACAGGAUUAGAUACCCUGGUAGUCCACGCCGUAAACGAUGGAUACUAGCUGUUCGGAGCAAUCUGAGUGGCUAAGCGAAAGUGAUAAGUAUCCACCUGGGGAGUACGUUCGCAAGAAUUGAAACUUAAAGGAAUUGACGG